This 253-nucleotide ribosomal RNA is filed under the name uncultured bacterium. RNAcentral's name for it is "partial 16S ribosomal RNA". It matches the Rfam family "Bacterial small subunit ribosomal RNA", at positions 524 to 776 of the family's 1533-position model. The record is from RNAcentral.
UACGGAGGAUCCAAGCGUUAUCCGGAAUCAUUGGGUUUAAAGGGUCCGUAGGCGGUUUAGUAAGUCAGUGGUGAAAGCCCAUCGCUCAACGGUGGAACGGCCAUUGAUACUGCUAGACUUGAAUUAUUAGGAAGUAACUAGAAUAUGUAGUGUAGCGGUGAAAUGCUUAGAGAUUACAUGGAAUACCAAUUGUGAAGGCAGCUUACUACGCAGAUAUUGACGCUCAUGCACGAAAGCGUGGGGAUCAAACAGG